UUGAUGUGCUUGUCUGGUCGUAGAAACACAGGGGGCGACCAAAGCUCCCUCAUGAACCCUAGCUUUGCAAUUUCACCAAAUUGACAGGGUAAAUCGGCUCCAAAUCGAAAUCCAAACUCAGAAUAGUGAUCACCUUCGGGAAAGGAUCAUAAGAAUGGGUUUUGCACGGUAGUUGAAUCUUCAAGCGGUCAAGUCGGAGCGGACGCACGCUUGAAGGAUAUGCUUUGAAAGGAAUAAAUAUCAAAUGGAUACACACAUCGCUAUUGCUUAGCGGCUACUAAGUCAAGAUAUAAUUUUAGCACCGGAGGACGAUCAAGCACAACGAAGAACCGAACUCGAUCAUGAAAUAAGCUUCCGCACUAUGUAUCGUUGUUAUGUGAAUUGACGAACUCACACAUGUAUGUUGUAAAGUUUUAAUUCUAUAAUAAAGUUUAAUGA
Molecule: long non-coding RNA, 438 nt
Filed under: Helianthus annuus (common sunflower)
Lineage: Eukaryota; Viridiplantae; Streptophyta; Magnoliopsida; Asterales; Asteraceae
Description: sRNA HanXRQr2_Chr11g0513551
Source: RNAcentral